RNAcentral lists this ribosomal RNA (441 nucleotides) under uncultured bacterium. Its description in RNAcentral is "partial 16S ribosomal RNA". It matches the Rfam family "Bacterial small subunit ribosomal RNA", at positions 338 to 795 of the family's 1533-position model. The record is from RNAcentral.
CCUACGGGUGGCAGCAGUAGGGAAUUUUGCGCAAUGGGGGAAACCCUGACGCAGCAACGCCGCGUGAUCGAUGAAGCCCUUCGGGGUGUAAAGAUCUGUCAGUGGGGACGAAACCUGACGGUUCCCACAGAGGAAGCACCGGCUAACUCCGUGCCAGCAGCCGCGGUAAUACGGAGGGUGCGAGCGUUAAUCGGAAUUACUGGGCGUAAAGCGCUCGUAGGCGGGAUGUCAAGUCAAGGGUGAAAUCCCCGCGCUCAACGUGGGAACUGCCUUUGAAACUGGCAAACUGGAGUGUGUGAGAGGAUAGUGGAAUUCCAGGUGUAGGAGUGAAAUCCGUAGAUAUCUGGAGGAACAUCAGUGGCGAAGGCGACUAUCUGGCACAUAACUGACGCUGAGGAGCGAAAGCGUGGGUAGCAAACAGGAUUAGAUACCCCAGUAGUC